AUAGGUAUGUUGGAAUUGGUAGACAAAUCCGUUUUAGGCACGGAUGAUAGUAAUAUUGUGUAGGUUCAAGUCCUACUACCUAUA
RNAcentral lists this transfer RNA (84 nucleotides) under Calonectria ilicicola. Its description in RNAcentral is "tRNA-Thr". It matches the Rfam family "tRNA". From Rfam's summary of the family: Transfer RNA (tRNA) molecules are approximately 80 nucleotides in length. Their secondary structure includes four short double-helical elements and three loops (D, anti-codon, and T loops). Lineage: Eukaryota; Fungi; Ascomycota; Sordariomycetes; Hypocreales; Nectriaceae. The record is from RNAcentral.